RNAcentral lists this ribosomal RNA (372 nucleotides) under uncultured organism. RNAcentral's name for it is "partial 16S ribosomal RNA". It matches the Rfam family "Bacterial small subunit ribosomal RNA", at positions 527 to 896 of the family's 1533-position model. The record is from RNAcentral.
GGAGGGGGCUAGCGUUGUUCGGAAUUACUGGGCGUAAAGCGCGCGUAGGCGGGCUGGUUAGUUGGGGUGAAAUCCCGAGGCUCAACCUCGGAACUGCCCUCAAUACUGCCAGUCUUGAGUUCGAGAGAGGUGAGUGGAAUUCCUAGUGUAGAGGUGAAAUUCGUAGAUAUUAGGAAGAACACCAGUGGCGAAGGCGGCUCACUGGCUCGAUACUGACGCUGAGGCGCGAAAGCGUGGGGAGCAAACAGGGAUUAGAUACCCUGGUAGUCCACGCCGUAAACGAUGGGUGCUAGUUGUCAGGCAGCUUGCUGUUUUGGUUGACGCAGCUAACGCGUUAAGCACCCCCCGCCUGGGACUACGGUCGCAAGACUA